RNAcentral lists this long non-coding RNA (416 nucleotides) under Mytilus galloprovincialis (Mediterranean mussel). Lineage: Eukaryota; Metazoa; Mollusca; Bivalvia; Mytilida; Mytilidae. The record is from RNAcentral.
AAAACUGUACCUAUACGCCUUAUUUUUAGUCCAGAUUUUUAGUAUUUGUAUUGUUAUCUUAGAAAGUCUUACUGAUUAAAAUACUACAAUAGGUAACAAUUUGACAAUUUAGUAGUGUCAACCCUGUGAUUAUGACCCGUGUAUAUAGCAUAUUAAUCCUGAAUACACCGUUUGUUGGUGCGCCUGUCAGAUGCGGAACGUUCAGAUAAGGUAAAAGGUAACAGGUGAAUAUACUAUUGGUAUCGGUAUCGGACUCGACCCGGAACUUCUUAAUUAUUGGCAAUAUUAAUUACGUGGAAAACAAAAGGGCCUGGAGUGGUGUAAUUUUUAAUCUACACCUUUGUACUAUAUUAAUUAUAUAUAAAGUUGAAUUCUUUGAUUCGUCGUUUUUACGUGAUGACGGCUGACAAAUUGGA